Molecule: ribosomal RNA, 590 nt
Filed under: uncultured bacterium
Lineage: Bacteria
Description: bacterial SSU rRNA
Rfam family: Bacterial small subunit ribosomal RNA
Source: RNAcentral
CCUACGGGAGGCAGCAGUGGGGAAUAUUGGACAAUGGGCGAAAGCCUGAUCCAGCAAUGCCGCGUGAGUGAUGAAGGCCUUCGGGUCGUAAAGCUCUUUUACCAGGGAUGAUAAUGACAGUACCUGGAGAAUAAGCUCCGGCUAACUCCGUGCCAGCAGCCGCGGUAAUACGGAGGGAGCUAGCGUUGUUCGGAAUUACUGGGCGUAAAGAGUACGUAGGCGGUUAUUCAAGUCAGAGGUGAAAGCCCGGGGCUCAACCCCGGAACUGCCUUUGAAACUAGAUAGCUAGAGUCUUGGAGAGGUUAGUGGAAUUCCGAGUGUAGAGGUGAAAUUCGUAGAUAUUCGGAAGAACACCAGUGGCGAAGGCGACUAACUGGACAAGUACUGACGCUGAGGUACGAAAGCGUGGGGAGCAAACAGGAUUAGAUACCCUGGUAGUCCACGCCGUAAACGAUGAUAACUAGUUGUUCGGUCACUUGGUGACUGAGUGACGCAGCUAACGCAUUAAGUUAUCCGCCUGGGGAGUACGGUCGCAAGAUUAAAACUCAAAGGAAUUGACGGCUGNGAGNGCGAGACGACGACGAGGAGAG